GUGCUUGCUUCGGCAGCACAUGCACUAAAAUUGGAAUGAUACAGAGAAGAUUAACAUGGCCCCUGCACAAGAAUGACGUACAAAUUCAUGAAGCAUUUCAUAUCUUU
Ochotona curzoniae (black-lipped pika) is the source of this 107-nucleotide small nuclear RNA. Lineage: Eukaryota; Metazoa; Chordata; Mammalia; Lagomorpha; Ochotonidae. The record is from RefSeq and is a predicted model, not a curated record.